This 497-nucleotide ribosomal RNA is filed under the name uncultured bacterium. Its description in RNAcentral is "partial 16S ribosomal RNA". It matches the Rfam family "Bacterial small subunit ribosomal RNA", at positions 28 to 507 of the family's 1533-position model. The record is from RNAcentral.
GACGAACGCUGGCGGCGUGCCUAAUACAUGCAAGUCGAGCGAACAGACGAGGAGCUUGCUCCUCUGACGUUAGCGGCGGACGGGUGAGUAACACGUGGAUAAUCUACCUAUAAGACUGGGAUAACUUCGGGAAACGGGAGCUAAUACCGGAUAAUAUCUUGAACCGCAUGGUUCAAUAGUGAAAGACGGUUUUGCUGUAAUUAAUAGAUGGAUCGCCGCCGCUUAGGGGGGUGGGUAAGGUAACGGCCUACCAAGGCGAGGAAGAGUAUCAGACAGGAGAGGGUGAUCGGCCAAACUGGAACGGAGACAGGCUCCAGACGCCUAGGGAAGGCGCCAGAAGGGAAUCUUGCGCAAGGGGCGAAAGCUUGACGGAGAAACGCCGCGUGAGUGAGGAGGUUCUCCGGAUCGUAAAACCCGGUUAUUAGGGAAGAACAAAUGUGUAAGUGACAAUGCACGUCUUGACGGUAACUAAUCAGAAAGGCACGGCUAACUACGUG